UACGGAGGUGGCAAGCGUUACUCGGUUUGACUGGGUGUAAAGGGUCCGCAGGCGGUUUGAUAAGUGGAAAGUGAAAUCCUUCUGCUUAACGGAAGAAGUGCUUUCCAAACUAUCAUACUUGAGGAUGGAAGAGGAGAGUGGAACUGUCGGUGUAAAGGUGAAAUUUGUGGAGAUCGACAGGAACGCCCGUGGAGAAGUCGGCUCUCUGGUCCAUCUCUGACGCUCAGGGACGAAAGCUAGGGGAG
RNAcentral lists this ribosomal RNA (245 nucleotides) under uncultured bacterium. Its description in RNAcentral is "partial 16S ribosomal RNA". It matches the Rfam family "Bacterial small subunit ribosomal RNA", at positions 524 to 768 of the family's 1533-position model. The record is from RNAcentral.